CAAAAUGUAGCUUAAUACAAAGCAUUUAGCUUACACCUAAAAGAUUUCAGAUAAACUGACCAUUUUGA
This 68-nucleotide transfer RNA is filed under the name Dactylopsila trivirgata (striped possum). Its description in RNAcentral is "tRNA-Val". It matches the Rfam family "tRNA". Rfam says of the family: Transfer RNA (tRNA) molecules are approximately 80 nucleotides in length. The record is from RNAcentral. Lineage: Eukaryota; Metazoa; Chordata; Mammalia; Diprotodontia; Petauridae.